AGAGUUUGAUCCUGGCUCAGGAUGAACGCUGGCGGCAUGCCUAAUACAUGCAAGUCGAGCGAGGAUCCUUGUGGAUCCUAGUGGCGAACGGGUGAGUAACACGUAGGGAACCUGCCCGCGCACCGGGAAUACGCUCUGGAAACGGAGAACAAAUCCCGAUGUACAGGAAGGAGGCAUCUUCUUUCUGUGAAACAUCCUGUAAGGGAUGGGGCGCGGAUGGACCUGCGGUGCAUUAGUUGGUUGGCGAGGGUAAAGGCCCACCAAGACGAUGAUGCAUAGCCGGCCUGAGAGGGCGGACGGCCACAUUGGGACUGAGACACGGCCCAGACUCCUGCGGGAGGCAGCAGUAGGGAAUUUUCGUCAAUGGGCGCAAGCCUGAACGAGCGAUGCCGCGUGAGUGAAGAAGGCCUUCGGGUCGUAAAGCUCUGUUGCGGGGGAAAAAAGGCAUCUGCAGGAAAUGGUAGAUGACAGAUGGUGCCCCGCCAGAAAGUCACGGCUAACUACGUGCCAGCAGCCGCGGUAAUACGUAGGUGGCGAGCGUUAUCCGGAAUGAUUGGGCGUAAAGGGUGCGCAGGCGGUCCUGCAAGUCUGGAGUGAAACGUAUGAGCUCAACUCAUGCAUGGCUCUGGAA
This 631-nucleotide ribosomal RNA is filed under the name uncultured bacterium. Its description in RNAcentral is "bacterial SSU rRNA". It matches the Rfam family "Bacterial small subunit ribosomal RNA", at positions 8 to 631 of the family's 1533-position model. The record is from RNAcentral.